UGUGGUUGUUGUUGCAGCGACUGUGGUUGUGGUGGCUGCUGCAGCAGUUGCAGGUGUUGUUGUCAUGGGAGGAGCUGUGGUGGUCAUUAUGGACGUAGCUGAGGUUGUAGUUGGAGCAGCUGUGGUUGUUGAAUGAGCAACUGUGCUAGUUGUGAUGCCUGCUGUGGUGACCGUGGCGGCACCUGUUGUUGUGGUGGCAGCACCUGUGGUUGUUGUGGGAGAAACUAUGGUUGUUGUGACUCCAUUUGUUGUUGUAGUUGGAGCAGCUGUGGUUGUUGUGGGAGAAACUGUGGAUGUUGUGACUCUAUUUGUCGUAAUUGGAGUAUCUGUGGUUGUCAGGGCAGCAGCUGUGGUUGUAGUAGGAUCAGCAGUGGUUGUGCUAGCGGCUGCUGUGAUUGUGGUGGUUGCUGCUGUUGUUGUAGUCGAAGCAUCUGUGGUUGUUGUGGCAUCAGCUCCGGUUGUUGUGGGAGAAACUGUGGAUGUGCUCACUAUAUUUGUGGUUGUAAUUGGAGCAUCUGUGGUUGUCAUGACAGCAGCUGUGGUUGUAGAUGGAACACUAGAGGUUGUGCUGGCGGCUGCUGUGAUUGUGGUGGUUGCUGCUGUUGUUGUAGUCGAAGCAGCUGUGGUUGUUGUGACCGGAAUUGUGGUAGUCAUCAUGCCAUCUGUAGUGGUCGUGGGGGCAACCGUGGUUGUGGUUGCAGCGGUAGCUGUGGUUGUAGUUGGAGCACGUGUGGUUGUUGUUGCAGCGACUGUGGUUGUGGUGGCUGCUGCAGCAGUUGCAGGUGUUGUUGUCAUGGCAGGAGCUGUGGUGGUCAUCAUGGACAUUGUUGAGGUUGUAGAUGGAGCAGCUGUGGUUGUUGAAUGAGCAACUGGGGUAGUUGUGAUGCCUGCUGUGGUGACCGUGGCGGCACCUGUGGUUGUGGUGGCAGCACCUGUGGUUGUUGUGGGAGAAACGAUGGUUGUUGUUACUCCAUUUGUCAAUGAAAUUGGAGCAUCUGUGGUUGUUGUGGCAGCAGCUGUGGUUGUUGUAGGAUCAGCAGUGGUUGUGCUAGCGGCUGCUGUGAUCAUGGUGGUUGCUGCUGCUGUUGUUGUAGUCGAAGCAGCUGUGGUUGUUGUGACCGGAAUUGUGGUAGUCAUCAUGCCAUCUGUAGUGGUCGUGGGGGCAGCUGUGGUUGUGGUUGCAGCAGUAGCUGUGGUUGUAGUUGGAGCACCUGUGGUUGUUCUUGCAGCAACUGUGGUUGUGGUGGCUGCUGCAGCAGUUGCAGGUGUCGUUGUCAUGGCAGGAGCUGUGGUGGUCAUCAUGGACAUUGUUGAGGUUGUAGUUGGAGCAGCUGUGGUUUGUGAAUGAGCAACUGUGUUAGUUGUGAUGCCUGCUGUGGUGACUGUGGCGGCAGGUGUCGUUGUGGUGGAAGCACCUGUGGUUGUUGUGGGAGACACUAUUGUUGUUAUGACUCCAUUUGUUGUUGUAGUUGGAGCAUGUGUGGUUGUUGUGGCAUCAGCUCCGGUUGUUGUGGGAGAAACUGUGGAUGUGCUGGCUAUAUUUGUGGUUGUAAUUGGAGCAUCUGUGGUUGUCAUGAGGGCAGCUGUGGUUGUAGAUGGAGCAGCAACGGUUGUGGUGGCGGCUGCUGUGAUUGUGGUGGUUGCUGCUGUUGUUGUAGUCGAAGCAGCUGUGGUUGUUGUGACCGGAAUUGUGGUAGUCAUCAUGCCAUCUGUAGUGGUCGUUUGGGCAGCUGUGGUUGUGGUUGCAGCAGUAGCUGUGGUUGUAGUUGGAGCACCUGUGGUUGUUGUUGCAGCGACUGUGGUUGUGGUGGCUGCUGCAGCAGUUGCAGGUGUCGUUGUCAUGGCAGGAGCUGUGGUGGUCAUCAUGGACAUUGUUGAGGUUGUAGUUGGAGCAGCUGUGGUUGUUGAAUGAGCAACUGUGUUAGUUGUGAUGCCUGCUGUGGUGACCGUGGCUGCACCUGUUGUUGUGGUGGCAGCACCUGUGGUUGUUGUGGGAGACACUAUGGUUGUUGUGACUCCAUUUGUUGUUGUAGUUGGAGCAUGUGUGGUUGUUGUGGCAUCAGCUCCGGUUGUUGUGGGAGAAACUGUGGAUGUGCUGGCUAUAUUUGUGGUUGUAAUUGGAGCAUCUGUGGUUGUCAUGGCAGCAGCUGUGGUUGUAGAUGGAGCAGCAGAGGUUGUGCUGGCGGCUGCUGUGAUUGUGGUGGUUGCUGCUGUUGUUGUAGUCGAAGCAGCUGUGGUUGUUGUGACCGGAAUUGUGGUAGUCAUCAUGCCAUCUGUAGUGGUCGUGGGGGCAGCUGUGGUUGUGGUUGCAGCAGUAGCUGUGGUUGUAGUUGGAGCACCUGUGGUUGUUGUUGCAGCGACUGUGGUUGUGGUGGCUGCUGCAGCAGUUGCAAGUGUUGUUGUCAUGGCAGGAGCUGUGGUGGUCAUCAUGGACGUAGCUGAGGUUGUAGUUGGAGCAGCUGUGGUUGUUGAAUGAGCAACUGUGCUAGUUGUGAUGCCUGCUGUGGUGACCGUGGCGGCACCUGUGGUUGUGGUGGCAGCAUCUGUGGUUGUUGUGGGAGAAACUAUGGUUGUUGUGACUCCAUUUGUUGUUGUAGUUGGAGCAUCUGUGGUUGUUGUGGCAGCAGCUGUGGUUGUUGUGGGAGAAACUGUGGUUGUUGUGACUCCAUUUGUGGUUGUAGUUGGAGCAUCUGUGGUUGUCAUGACAGCAGCUGUGGUUGUAGUAGGAGCAGUAGUGGUUAUGGUGGCGGCUGCUGUGAUUGUGGUGGUUGCUGCUGUCGUAUUCGAAGCAGCUGUGGUUGUUGCGACCGGAAUUGUGGUAGUCGUCAUGCCAUCUGCAGUGGUCGUGGGGGCAGCUGUG
This 2860-nucleotide long non-coding RNA is filed under the name Salmo salar (Atlantic salmon). Its description in RNAcentral is "lncRNA (ENSSSAG00000084108.1)". Lineage: Eukaryota; Metazoa; Chordata; Actinopteri; Salmoniformes; Salmonidae. The record is from RNAcentral.